Molecule: small nuclear RNA, 111 nt
Organism: Talpa occidentalis (Iberian mole)
Lineage: Eukaryota; Metazoa; Chordata; Mammalia; Eulipotyphla; Talpidae
Source: RefSeq, a predicted model, not a curated record
GUGCUCACUUUGGUAGUACAUAUAGUAAACUUGGAGCAAGACAGAGACCAUCAAUGGCAUGGUCCUUACACAAGGAUGAAAAGGCAAAUUCAUGAAGAGAUCCAUGUUUUU